CCUGGCGGCGUGCCUAUACAUGCAAGUCGCACGCACCGGNUUUACCGGUGAGUGGCGAACGGGUGAGUAACACGUGGGCAACCUGCCCCCAAGACGAGGAUAACCGCUGGAAACGGCGGCUAAGACUGGAUAGGACCAAGGAAGGCAUCUUCCCUGGUUUAAAAGACCUUCGGGUAUGCUUGGGGAGGGGCCCGCGGCGCAUUAGCUAGUUGGUGGGGUAAAAGCCUACCGAGGCGAUGAUGCGUAGCCGGACUGAGAGGUUGGACGGCCACACUGGGACUGAGAGACGGCCCAGACUCCUACGGGAGGCAGCAGUAGGGAAUUUUCGGCAAUGGGGGAAACCCUGACCGAGCAACGCCGCGUGAACGAAGAAGUAUUUCGGUAUGUAAAGUUCUUUUAUCAGGGAAGAAAGGCACGUGGAAAAGCGUGAUUGACGGUACCUGAUGAAUAAGCCCCAGAAGGAUAAUAUUUUUUUGGAGUCGAUAUUAGCAUACGAAUAAGCCACGGCUAACUCCGUGCCAGCAGCCGCGGUAACACGGGGGUGGCGAGCGUUGUCCGGAAUUACUAGGCGUAAAGAGCAAUAAGGCGGAGAUAUAAGUCAGAUGUAAAAGGCACCGGCUUAACCGGUGUGAGGCAUUUGAUACUAUAUUUCUGGAGUAAGGUGGAGGGAGACGGAAUUCCUGGUGUAGCGGUGGAAUGCGUAGAUAUCAGGAAGAACACCAAAGGCGCAGGCAGUUUUCCAUACCAUUACUGACGCUGUAUUGCGAAGGUGUGGGUAUCGAA
RNAcentral lists this ribosomal RNA (783 nucleotides) under uncultured bacterium. RNAcentral describes it as "bacterial SSU rRNA". It matches the Rfam family "Bacterial small subunit ribosomal RNA", at positions 35 to 772 of the family's 1533-position model. The record is from RNAcentral.